RNAcentral lists this long non-coding RNA (340 nucleotides) under Trifolium pratense (red clover). Its description in RNAcentral is "long non-coding RNA (TPRA_LNC014213)". Lineage: Eukaryota; Viridiplantae; Streptophyta; Magnoliopsida; Fabales; Fabaceae. The record is from RNAcentral.
CGACCACUGUGAAAGAAGUAUGUGUAAGUUUCCUUUUAUUGCGAGAUGCAUUAUGAAUGAAUGCAAAUGUACUCUUGUACACUACCUAAUAUAAUCUAGGAGGAGCAUAGCUAAGGGAAAGUCAUCCGUUCAAAUCUGAUAGGAGGCUCUUUUUUUUUUUGUCAUAAUGACACCAUAGUAUUCCUAAUUUGAAGUAAGAAUAUAUAUUAUUGAUAUUUGUAAGAAGUUUAUGUUUGUAAUAAAAUAAAAUAAAAACCAUGGAAUAGUUGAAUUUCAUUAAAAAUUAGGAUUUAUAAUAUAAAGAAAUUAUAUUAAGAUAUUGUUAUCAUUCGAAUGAAUU